AAGAAUUGAAACAGUUUUGUCUA
This 23-nucleotide non-coding RNA is filed under the name Arabidopsis thaliana (thale cress). Lineage: Eukaryota; Viridiplantae; Streptophyta; Magnoliopsida; Brassicales; Brassicaceae. The record is from RNAcentral.